AACGAACGCUGGCGGCAUGCCUAACACAUGCAAGUCGAACGAGACCUUCGGGUCUAGUGGCGCACGGGUGCGUAACGCGUUGGAACCUGCCCUUAGGUUCGGAAUAACUCCCCGAAAGGGGUGCUAAUACCGGAUAAUUUCUUCGGACCAAAGAUUUAUCGCCUUUGGAUGGGCCCGCGUUGGAUUAGCUAGGUGGUAGGGUAAAAGCCUACCAAGGCGACGAUCCAUAGCUGGUCUGAGAGGAUGAUCAGCCACACUGGGACUGAGACACGGCCCAGACUCCUACGGGAGGCAGCAGUGGGGAAUAUUGGACAAUGGGCGAAAGCCUGAUCCAGCAAUGCCGCGUGAGUGAUGAAGGCCUUAGGGUUGUAAAGCUCUUUUACCCGGGAUGAUAAUGACAGUACCGGGAGAAUAAGCGCCGGCUAACUCCGUG
This 433-nucleotide ribosomal RNA is filed under the name uncultured bacterium. RNAcentral's name for it is "partial 16S ribosomal RNA". It matches the Rfam family "Bacterial small subunit ribosomal RNA", at positions 29 to 507 of the family's 1533-position model. The record is from RNAcentral.